RNAcentral lists this long non-coding RNA (1137 nucleotides) under Marmota monax (woodchuck). Lineage: Eukaryota; Metazoa; Chordata; Mammalia; Rodentia; Sciuridae. The record is from RNAcentral.
GUUUUGAGCGCUCAUUUGAAUUUUUAAAAAUAAAUAAAGACAAGUGAGAACUAAUCUUUAGGUAAAAAUUAUUAUUUUUGUUUCAUAUGGAAAACAUAAAUAGUUUCUAUAAUUUGGGAGAAACAUGUGGGCAAGAUAGUUGUUUUGUUCAUUGCUUCCCUCCCUAUUCUAACAUAAGGAUGUGAUCUUUUAAUAGUGCUUGGUGAUUUAUUUCUGGAUAGGCUUUAUGAAAUUCAAUGUAUUGGAAUUUAAUGAUAUUUAUUCUUUGAUUUGAUGUGAAAUUAGAUUGUGAAUGAUGGAAUAAGAUUGUUCUCCAAUUUAUUGCUGUUCUAGCAUAGCCAAAAAUAUAAAGAUAAUAUGUGUACAUAUAAAUGUGUAUUUGAUUAAACAUUUUAGAUAUUUAAAUGGCCAUAUCAAAUUUUAAAUGGUAGAUGAUAUCAACAGUUGCAGUGCACUCAAAAUAAUAGCUCUAAACACCUUUGUAGCACAAAUCCUAAAGCUUAAUACUAAAUAGCAUUUUUCUAUAAAAUACUCAAGUAACAUCAGUCUAGGUUGAGACAUUUAAUCCUUCAUAGAGCUAUAUUUGACUAAGGGGGAAACUGCAGCUAAAAAUAUUUUUUCCUUCCUAUGUGAUUCUUUCAAAGUAUCUCUUAAAGUUACAUAAAGCUAUUUAUCAUUAAUUAAGGAUUUACACUAUACUCAUCUACUUUUACAAAAGCAAGGGAAGAUCUAUUUAUGAAAAUAAGGAAACGCAGCACUACAUUAUUAUUUUUCAAUAUUGGUAUUUUAUCACCAUUUAGAGCUUCAAUAUAUGCCUUUCACUCAGGAUCCUUACACAGCCUAUGUUCUCUUUUCUGGUUGUAAUCACAAUAUGGUAGAGAUAAACACAGUAUAACGGUGUUAACUGAACUGCAGUCCUACCUAUUAUCUACUUUGCUAUACCAGUAAAGUAGUUCAAAUUUAUUUGAAUGUGGUAUUGUUUUCAUCUUACAAAAAUCUACUAUAAUAUUAUGAUGUUCCAUGUAAAUUUUCAUGUGCUGGCAUGCUUACAAGUUAAUAGUGUUAUAGAAUGCUCAGCUCUCAACAUGAGAGAUUGUUUGUGGUGAAUUGCAUUACAUGUCAUCUAUUUGCUGAAAG